UGGGGAAUAUUGGACAAUGGGCGAAAGCCUGAUCCAGCCAUGCCGCGUGUGUGAAGAAGGUCUUCGGAUUGUAAAGCACUUUAAGUUGGGAGGAAGGGCAUUAACCUAAUACGUUAGUGUUUUGACGUUACCGACAGAAUAAGCACCGGCUAACUCUGUGCCAGCAGCCGCGGUAAUACAGAGGGUGCAAGCGUUAAUCGGAAUUACUGGGCGUAAAGCGCGCGUAGGUGGUUUGUUAAGUUGGAUGUGAAAUCCCCGGGCUCAACCUGGGAACUGCAUUCAAAACUGACUGACUAGAGUAUGGUAGAGGGUGGUGGAAUUUCCUGUGUAGCGGUGAAAUGCGUAGAUAUAGGAAGGAACACCAGUGGCGAAGGCGACCACCGGGACUAAUACUGACACUGAGGUGCGAGAGCGUGGGGAGCAAACA
Molecule: ribosomal RNA, 427 nt
Filed under: uncultured bacterium
Lineage: Bacteria
Description: partial 16S ribosomal RNA
Rfam family: Bacterial small subunit ribosomal RNA
Source: RNAcentral